GACGAACGCUGGCGGCGUGCCUAAUACAUGCAAGUCGAACGCACAGUUUAUACCGUAGCUUGCUACACCAUAGACUGUGAGUUGCGAACGGGUGAGUAACGCGUAGGUAACCUGCCUGGUAGCGGGGGAUAACUAUUGGAAACGAUAGCUAAUACCGCAUAAUAUUGAUUAUUGCAUGAUAAUUGAUUGAAAGAUGCUAUUGCAUCACUACCAGAUGGACCUGCGUUGUAUUAGCUAGUAGGUGAGGUAACGGCUCACCUAGGCGACGAUACAUAGCCGACCUGAGAGGGUGAUCGGCCACACUGGGACUGAGACACGGCCCAGACUCCUACGGGAGGCAGCAGUAGGGAAUCUUCGGCAAUGGACGAAAGUCUGACCGAGCAAAGCCGCGUGAGUGAAGAAGGUUUUCGGAUCGUAAAGCUCUGUUGUAAGAGAAGAACGGGUGUGAGAGUGGAAAGUUCACACUGUGACGGUAUCUUACCAGAAAGGGACGGCUAACUACGUG
RNAcentral lists this ribosomal RNA (505 nucleotides) under uncultured bacterium. RNAcentral describes it as "partial 16S ribosomal RNA". It matches the Rfam family "Bacterial small subunit ribosomal RNA", at positions 28 to 507 of the family's 1533-position model. The record is from RNAcentral.